CUUACAUAUUGGGUUAAAUAAAAUAUGUUGUUAAACUUACUUUCACCAUUUCGUUUGACUUUUUAAAUGUGGCUUCUAGAAAAAUCAUAUUUGUGAUUUACAUUACAUUUCUGUUGGACAAUGCUACUUUAGAGGAAGCAGGUUCUGCCUUUUAACAAGACAAAUUCCACUGGAUGGAAGACAGAUGGAAUGGGCUAGAGAGUGAAGGACAGACUUGGCAAAGCCUGAAGGGAAGGACUGUGAGGGUGGGAACAUGUGUAAAAGAUCAGUCAAAGGAUUUGUUUAUUUCUUGAAGAGAGUUGGGUGGGGAUGGGAAAGGCCAGAAUGUGUUUCUUGGGUGAGGCUCACAGAUCCAGUUUUGGAGGGAGUAACAUAGGAGAGAGGAAGCCGGGUGAAGAGGGAGCACAGACGGAUGGGAGGCUCAAGUCCAAGAACCAGCGGAGGGACCAGCCUUGAACAGGAUGCCUCUCACCGCCUCUGAGAAGAGAAAAAAGCAGGACAGCUGAUUUCCUGCAGAAGCCUGAUGGGCUUCUCGCUUUUCCUAGGACCUGUGGUCACCACAGACACAAGAGGCUGCCAAGGCUGGGGCUGUGCCAGUGCCCCACCCCCGUGAGCCUGGGGCUCAAGCGACACUCCAGUGAACAUGUUCACUACUUCUGACAAGAUCAAAGGAAUGAACAGAUCCUUGCUCCUAAAUCCUGCCCUCUACCCCUGCCAGACCCCCAAGGCCUCACUGUAAAAAGUGAGGCUGUUCCUGAGCAAGCAGGGCACAUGCUUGCAUUUUGGGAACUGGGAUAUCAGGAGCACAAAAUUAUCACAAUGACACAUGCCUCACAACAAUGAAAUUGGAGUGAAACCAGGGAAGAUUCACCGGCACAUUGGCUUGUAUUCUCCAGAUGAUCUAACUUCCUCCUAAAAAUUACAAGUAUUCUAUUAUCCUGCCAGUCUAUAGAAGCUGUUUGGUCUCACCCUCUCAUCUGACCAAAGGGGCUACUGUUAGACAAGAGGAGAGGUGGACUGGCAAAUAUGUCAGCCUCCUUUCUCCCAGUGUCUUUACCAUUAUCCUGAAUGCUGGUUGGGUCACAAAGGCUGGCUUCAGGCAGAAUUAUGGAAGCAGUGAGGUUUGCCUGUAUUCCUGCAAAGUGUUGCUCUGCACUGAGGGCCUUUAUACAGAACUUCACCCAGGUCCCUCCCCGGCAACAACUCACUGAUCCUGGCCAAGACCUUGUACUUUCCAUCGGGACUUACACCUUUUUAUAUCCCUGGCAUCCAAUCCAGGGCCUAUAUAUGUGUGGAAUGGAAAAAAAAAACUCCCCAAAUGCAAAUAAAAACCACAGUGAGAUACCACCUCAUACCCACUAGGAUGGCUAUAUCAAAAAAACAAAAAUAAGAAAAUAAAAAGUGUUGGUAAAGAUG
Long non-coding RNA from Manis pentadactyla (Chinese pangolin), 1416 nucleotides. RefSeq lists it as uncharacterized. The transcript is spliced from 2 exons. The record is from RefSeq and is a predicted model, not a curated record. Lineage: Eukaryota; Metazoa; Chordata; Mammalia; Pholidota; Manidae.